CCGACCUUAGCUCAGUUGGUAGAGCGGAGGACCGUAGAUCCUUAGGUCGCUGGUUCGAAUCCGGCAGGUCGGA
RNAcentral lists this transfer RNA (73 nucleotides) under Solanum lycopersicum (tomato). RNAcentral describes it as "tRNA-Tyr (GTA) (tRNA-Tyr-GTA-5-1)". It matches the Rfam family "tRNA". Rfam says of the family: Transfer RNA (tRNA) molecules are approximately 80 nucleotides in length. Their secondary structure includes four short double-helical elements and three loops (D, anti-codon, and T loops). Further hydrogen bonds mediate the characteristic L-shaped molecular structure. tRNAs have two regions of fundamental functional importance: the anti-codon, which is responsible for specific mRNA codon recognition, and the 3' end, to which the tRNAs corresponding amino acid is attached (by aminoacyl-tRNA synthetases). tRNAs cope with the degeneracy of the genetic code in two manners: having more than one tRNA (with a specific anti-codon) for a particular amino acid; and 'wobble' base-pairing, i.e. permitting non-standard base-pairing at the 3rd anti-codon position. Lineage: Eukaryota; Viridiplantae; Streptophyta; Magnoliopsida; Solanales; Solanaceae. The record is from RNAcentral.